GUCCGCACGAGCGCAACCCUUAUCCUUAGUUGCCAGCACGUAAUGGUGGGAACUCUAACGAGACUGCCGGUGACAAACCGGAGGAAGGUGGGGACGACGUCAAGUCAUCAUGGCCCUUACGAGAUGGGCUACACACGUGCUACAAUGGCAAGUACAAAGGGUUGCAAACUCGCGAGAGUAAGCGGAUCCCGUAAAGCUUGUCGUAGUCCGGAUUGGAGUCUGCAACUCGACUCCAUGAAGUCGGAAUCGCUAGUAAUCGUGGAUCAGAAUGCCACGGUGAAUACGUUCCCGGGCCUUGUACACACCGCCCGUCACACCAUGGGAGUGGGCUGCAAAAGAAGUGGAUAGCUUAACCUUCGGGAGGGCGUUCACCACUUUGUGGUUCAUGACUGGGGUGAAGUCGUAACAAGGUAGCCGUAGGGGAACCUGCGGCUGGAUCACCUCCUU
RNAcentral lists this ribosomal RNA (447 nucleotides) under uncultured Gammaproteobacteria bacterium. RNAcentral describes it as "bacterial SSU rRNA". It matches the Rfam family "Bacterial small subunit ribosomal RNA", at positions 1084 to 1532 of the family's 1533-position model. The record is from RNAcentral. Lineage: Bacteria; Pseudomonadati; Pseudomonadota; Gammaproteobacteria.